AAAAAAGAACAAAAAAUAUUGAUUGAAGGAUAAUUAACAACAGCAUAAAAACAAACCACAGCUCUUAAACCAACAUUGCAUCAACUAAAGAAAAACAAACAAAAUAUAAGCAGACACAAACAUUUCAGUCCCAUUCUAGUAGGAGUCAGUUAAAAAUUGAUUAUUUUUCUCUAUAUUCUGUUAAGCUAAAGAUCAAAUUUCAAUUACAAAAUGAGCCCACUUCAAUUUUAGCCUUCCUUCUCAUUAAGACAGUGUAUAUGUGGGUCUUUCUCGGACAAAA
Molecule: unclassified non-coding RNA, 280 nt
Filed under: Hevea brasiliensis (rubber tree)
Lineage: Eukaryota; Viridiplantae; Streptophyta; Magnoliopsida; Malpighiales; Euphorbiaceae
Source: RNAcentral